GAUGAACGCUAGCGACAGGCUUAACACAUGCAAGUCGAGGGGCAGCAUAAAAGUAGCUUGCUAUUUUUGAUGGCGACCGGCGCACGGGUGAGUAACGCGUAUGCAACCUACCUUAUACACAGGCAUAGCCCAUGGAAACGUGGAUUAACUCCUGAUAGCAUAUAUUAAAGGCAUCUUUAAUAUAUUAAAUAUUUAUAGGUAUAAGCUGGGCAUGCGUCCUAUUAGAUAGUUGGUAAGGUAACGGCUUACCAAGUCGUUGAUAGGUAGGGGUUCUGAGAGGAAGGUCCCCCACACUGGUACUGAGACACGGACCAGACUCCUACGGGAGGCAGCAGUGAGGAAUAUUGGUCAAUGGACGCAAGUCUGAACCAGCCAAGUCGCGUGAGGGAUGACUGCCCUAUGGGUUGUAAACCUCUUUUCUUUGGGAAGAAUAUUUACUAUGUAUAGUAAUUUGCCUGUACCGAAUGAAUAAGCAUCGGCUAACUCCGUGCCAGCAGCCGCGGUAAUACGGGGGAUGCGAGCGUUAUCCGGAUUUAUUGGGUUUAAAGGGUGCGUAGGCUGUAUAAUAAGUUAGUGGUCAAAUCUCAGCGCUCAACGUUGUCUUGCCAUUAAAACUGUUAAACUUGAGUACACUUGAGGUAGGCGGAAUAAGUUAAGUAGC
This 661-nucleotide ribosomal RNA is filed under the name uncultured bacterium. RNAcentral's name for it is "bacterial SSU rRNA". It matches the Rfam family "Bacterial small subunit ribosomal RNA", at positions 28 to 679 of the family's 1533-position model. The record is from RNAcentral.